RNAcentral lists this transfer-messenger RNA (377 nucleotides) under Rhodoferax sp. It matches the Rfam family "transfer-messenger RNA". From Rfam's summary of the family: Bacterial tmRNA, also known as 10Sa RNA or SsrA, is named for its dual tRNA and mRNA-like properties. Lineage: Bacteria; Pseudomonadati; Pseudomonadota; Betaproteobacteria; Burkholderiales; Comamonadaceae. The record is from RNAcentral. RNAcentral also lists the same sequence under 3 other names.
GGGGCUGCACUGGUUUCGACACGGGUUCGGACGCGCAGCAGGGCAUGUCGAGCUGAAUGCGCUCGUAAAACAGAUUCAAACAAACUAACUGCAAACGACGAACGUUUCGCACUCGCUGCUUAAUUGCACGUGAGGCUCACAACAGCAAGCCGAUAGGCUGGGCAAGGGUGGCGCAAGCCGUCCAGGCUGUGGGCUAAUUUCAUUCGGCUGGGCCUGCCUUGGGUAACUUAGGGUGGGCCGAGACAAUAGGUUGCUGGCGUCUUGUAUAGCGUGCCACUGCGCGAUGCAAGGAGUGAGAUCUAAAUCAGACGGCUACACAUGUAGAACUGUUCGAAGAAGGCUUGUGGACGCGGGUUCAAAUCCCGCCAGCUCCACCA